ACGGAAGGCAGCAGUGGGGGAUAUUGCACAAUGGAGGAAACUCUGAUGCAGCAACGCCGCGUGAGGGAAGAAGGUUUUCGGAUUGUAAACCUCUGUUUUUAGUGAAGAACACAAUGACGGUAGCUAAAGAGGAAGCCACGGCUAACUACGUGCCAGCAGCCGCGGUAAUACGUAGGUGGCAAGCGUUGUCCGGAUUUACUGGGUGUAAAGGGUGCGGAGGCGGGACUGUAAGUUGGAUGUGAAAUACCGGGGCUCAACCCCGGAACGGCAUCCAAAACUGGAGUCCUUGAGUGGAGUAGAGGUAAGCGGAAUUCCGAGUGUAGCGGUGAAAUGCGUAGAUAUUCGGAGGAACACCAGUGGCGAAGGCGGCUUACUGGGCUCUAACUGACGCUGAGGCACGAAAGCAUGGGGAGCAAACAGGAUUAGAUACCCUGGUA
RNAcentral lists this ribosomal RNA (437 nucleotides) under uncultured Ethanoligenens sp. Its description in RNAcentral is "partial 16S ribosomal RNA". It matches the Rfam family "Bacterial small subunit ribosomal RNA", at positions 341 to 792 of the family's 1533-position model. Lineage: Bacteria; Bacillati; Bacillota; Clostridia; Eubacteriales; Oscillospiraceae. The record is from RNAcentral.